This 487-nucleotide long non-coding RNA is filed under the name Equus caballus (horse). RNAcentral's name for it is "lncRNA (ENSECAG00000050775.1)". Lineage: Eukaryota; Metazoa; Chordata; Mammalia; Perissodactyla; Equidae. The record is from RNAcentral.
UAGAUGGCCCAGCAAAGACUUGUUUAACAAACAUUUGCAUUUCCAUCUCCAUGUAAAUUGUCGUCCUCCUCUCUGAAGUUCCAAACCACUGCCUCCAGCAUCCUCCUUUGUCUUAGCUGAAGAUGGUAUUUAAGGUGGCAGCUUCGGCCAUUCUGGCCUCCCUCCCUCCAGGCUCCUUGGUGGAAGAGAGGAACAGCAGGAGGCAACCAGAACUAUCAAGCAUCACAGACUGCAUGCAGCUUCUCAUCCUUUUUCAGAGCACAGUAUCAACAUUUAUUUUUGUACAAGUUUCAACUGGCUGCUGAGAACAGGGAAAUAGCUGUAUAACCCAGGAGUUUUACUCACCACAGAACUCAGUCCCUAGAACUGCAGGACACUUCAUAUGCCAGGUGCUAAAAAUACAGCUGAAUGAAGUAUUCACAAAAUCGUUUUCUAUUAAAAGCGUCCUCAUUUGGAAAAAUGCGCUAUGAGAAAAUAAAAGGAUGGG